RNAcentral lists this unclassified non-coding RNA (260 nucleotides) under Hevea brasiliensis (rubber tree). The record is from RNAcentral. Lineage: Eukaryota; Viridiplantae; Streptophyta; Magnoliopsida; Malpighiales; Euphorbiaceae.
AAAAAAAAAAAAGAGAGAGAAGAACUUAUCAUUUUCAAUUAUUUUUUAAAUCAAGCAUCAUUUUCAAUUACUUGUUUGAUGGUUAAGGAAACUUUACAUUAAUCACUUUAUUUUUGUGGGAUCAAUUCCAUUAAUCAACAUUUGCAAAAAAGAAAAAUAUUAAUCAAAAUUGAAACGUUAUAGUAAAAUUACAAUUUGAUAAUAUUUCUUCUGUAAUUGUCAUUUUUCAAAUAGGAGAUUUCGCAUAAAGUGUGUGGGUG